GGAGAGGUGUCUGAGCGGUUGAAGGUGCCGCUCUCGAAAAGCGGUGUUGCCGAAAGGUAACCGAGGGUUCGAAUCCCUCCCUCUCCG
Molecule: transfer RNA, 87 nt
Filed under: Candidatus Magasanikiibacteriota bacterium
Lineage: Bacteria; Candidatus Magasanikiibacteriota
Description: tRNA-Ser
Rfam family: tRNA
About the family: Transfer RNA (tRNA) molecules are approximately 80 nucleotides in length.
Source: RNAcentral